This 499-nucleotide ribosomal RNA is filed under the name uncultured bacterium. Its description in RNAcentral is "partial 16S ribosomal RNA". It matches the Rfam family "Bacterial small subunit ribosomal RNA", at positions 30 to 523 of the family's 1533-position model. The record is from RNAcentral.
AUUGAACGCUGGCGGCAUGCCUUACACAUGCAAGUCGAACGGUAACAGGUCUUCGGAUGCUGACGAGUGGCGAACGGGUGAGUAAUACAUCGGAACGUGCCCGAUCGUGGGGGAUAACGAAGCGAAAGCUUUGCUAAUACCGCAUACGAUCUAAGGAUGAAAGCAGGGGACCGCAAGGCCUUGCGCGAACGGAGCGGCCGAUGGCAGAUUAGGUAGUUGGUGGGAUAAAAGCUUACCAAGCCGACGAUCUGUAGCUGGUCUGAGAGGACGACCAGCCACACUGGGACUGAGACACGGCCCAGACUCCUACGGGAGGCAGCAGUGGGGAAUUGUGGGCAAUGGGCGAAAGCCUGAUCCAGCCAUGCCGCGUGCAGGAUGAAGGCCUUCGGGUUGUAAACUGCUUUUGUACGGAACGAAAAGACUCUGGUUAAUACCUGGGGUCCAUGACGGUACCGUAAGAAUAAGCACCGGCUAACUACGUGCCAGCCGCCGCCCGUAA